UAGGUUUAAGUAGUUCUAGGGGACUGAUGACCUCAGAAGUUAAGUCCCAUAGUGCUCAGAGCCUUUUGAACCAUUUUUUGAAACUAGUAAAGAGUAUAGGAAGGUGUUUUAUACUGAGUGACUAAAACAGUCAAACAACACUUCGAAAAUGUGCCUCUGUUUAAUGGUUUUGUUCAAAUUUAAAUAAGAAACUCUCGUGUUACAAUGAGCCAAUAAUAGCAACCAAAGCAUUAAGCCGUAAAAAUCAUAUGCAAAAUUUACUAUAAAGAUAGUGACAUUUAUAAUGAGUAUCCUUUACUUCCAACGGAAUUCGUAUUUUCUCCUUGAGUUUCAUUCUUCUACACAUUUUUCUAACGCACACUGUGGACAUUUUUAUAAGCGGAGGUUUGUUGGCAUGUGUACAUAGUGACAAUAUUGACGACAUUUUGUAUACUCUGGACGUAGGCGUUUCUGUCAUAUGGAUGACGUCAUGGGUCAAAGCAGAUGGAUUAAAUCGGAUGCUUCCCUAAUGCCGAGUUCCGAAGGUGCGAGGAUACAAGUGAGUUGGUUUCCAUUCGGACGUCUACGAUGAGACGAUGGACAGGGUGAAAGGCCUCGGCGUUGAUACCGAGUGCACUGGUGGUGGCAGAAUACAGCACGACCCCAGUGCCAAGGUCAUCAAAGUGUACAGCUACUCACAGGGGUUUGGGAAGGCAGACCACAGCAAGACUGUAGAAAUUCUGAAGACUGCAUAUUCUGUUU
Schistocerca piceifrons (Central American locust) is the source of this 741-nucleotide long non-coding RNA. RefSeq lists it as uncharacterized. The record is from RefSeq and is a predicted model, not a curated record. NCBI's taxonomy places the organism in Eukaryota, Metazoa, Arthropoda, Insecta, Orthoptera, Acrididae. The transcript is spliced from 4 exons.